Molecule: long non-coding RNA, 419 nt
Filed under: Theobroma cacao (cacao)
Lineage: Eukaryota; Viridiplantae; Streptophyta; Magnoliopsida; Malvales; Malvaceae
Description: long non-coding RNA (TCAC_LNC004702)
Source: RNAcentral
CAUAUAAUUGGACUUCAAUCAUCAUUACCAUUAAAAGGCAAAAAUUGGUUAUGUACUUAUGCCUAGCAACCAAUAUAACACAAGGCGGCUUUGAUGUUACUUGUUACCUCCCAAAAUGUUUCUUCUCAAUUGCCAGCCGACGUACCAGAGAAGGAAAAACCCCUGAAAUGUGGAAUAAAACAAGCAGAAAAAAACAGCCCAAGUACUCAUAAAUUGAACGAGGAGUAGUAUUCAGUAGAGUUUGGUCAGCUCUUAAUGUAAGCAUAGUGUAUCAAUUUAGCCAUCCAUGGUGCUAACCUUGGUGCGCCACUGUCAGCUGAUGGAGACAGGAAAGCCUCUGUUCAGAUCUUACUAACUCGCCCUGUAACGUUAUUUAUGGGAAGGUACCCCAGCUAUCAAAGUUAAAAGAGUCAAGUGCA